GGGGGCGUAGCUCAGCUGGGAGAGCACCUGCCUUGCAAGCAGGGGGUCAGGAGUUCGAUUCUCCUCGUCUCCA
Thermosinus carboxydivorans Nor1 is the source of this 73-nucleotide transfer RNA. It matches the Rfam family "tRNA". Rfam says of the family: Transfer RNA (tRNA) molecules are approximately 80 nucleotides in length. NCBI's taxonomy places the organism in Bacteria, Bacillati, Bacillota, Negativicutes, Selenomonadales, Sporomusaceae. The record is from Rfam.